AUGGGAGGAAGACAUACCAUUUUGGACUCGGUAGUCACCCAGCUUUCUCUUUACCACAUGUCCAUGUGGCUGAUUAAUAAGACGUUUGUGGAAAAAUUAGAUAAACAUAGGAGGAGGUUUUUCUGGCAGGGCGCCAAUAAAAAACGUCGCUACCAUCUGGUUCAUUGGAGCAGAAUCUGUAGGUCCAAGGAUAAAGGUGGGAUGGGUAUUAAAGACUUGCGCAAACAAAAUAUCAGUUUGAUGCUUAAGUGGUGGUGGAAAUUAUAUACCCAGCAGGGGAUUUGGCAAGAUAUUGUGAAAGCUCGAUAUCUUAGAAAGUAG
This 321-nucleotide ribosomal RNA is filed under the name Triticum aestivum (bread wheat). RNAcentral describes it as "partial small subunit ribosomal RNA". Lineage: Eukaryota; Viridiplantae; Streptophyta; Magnoliopsida; Poales; Poaceae. The record is from RNAcentral.